RNAcentral lists this ribosomal RNA (480 nucleotides) under uncultured bacterium. RNAcentral describes it as "bacterial SSU rRNA". It matches the Rfam family "Bacterial small subunit ribosomal RNA", at positions 28 to 507 of the family's 1533-position model. The record is from RNAcentral.
GACGAACGCUGGCGGCGUGCUUAACACAUGCAAGUCGAGCGGGGAUCAUUAACGGAAAGCUUCGGCCGGAAGUUGAUGAUUCUAGCGGCGGACGGGUGAGUAACGCGUGAACAAUCUGUCCCAGACAGGGGGAUAACAGAUGGAAACAUCUGCUAAUACCGCAUAAGACCACGAGCUCGCAUGGGCUUGAGGUAAAAGAAAUUCGGUUUGGGGUGAGUUCGCGUCCGAUUAGCUAGUUGGUGAGGUAACGGCCCACCAAGGCGACGAUCAGUAGCCGGUCUGAGAGGAUGAACGGCCACAUUGGGACUGAGAUACGGCCCAGACUCCUACGGGAGGCAGCAGUGGGGAAUAUUGGGCAAUGGGGGAAACCCUGACCCAGCAACGCCGCGUGAAGGAAGAAGGCCUUCGGGUUGUAAACUUCUUUACCUAGGGACGAAGAACGUGACGGUACCUGGAGAAAAGACCACGGCUAACUACGUG